GUUUACGUAGCCCAGUGGUAACGCUUCCGCCUCGUAAGCGGUAGAUCGGGGUUCAAAUCCCGGCUCGGACC
Molecule: transfer RNA, 71 nt
Organism: Culex pipiens (northern house mosquito)
Lineage: Eukaryota; Metazoa; Arthropoda; Insecta; Diptera; Culicidae
Rfam family: tRNA
About the family: Transfer RNA (tRNA) molecules are approximately 80 nucleotides in length. Their secondary structure includes four short double-helical elements and three loops (D, anti-codon, and T loops). Further hydrogen bonds mediate the characteristic L-shaped molecular structure. tRNAs have two regions of fundamental functional importance: the anti-codon, which is responsible for specific mRNA codon recognition, and the 3' end, to which the tRNAs corresponding amino acid is attached (by aminoacyl-tRNA synthetases). tRNAs cope with the degeneracy of the genetic code in two manners: having more than one tRNA (with a specific anti-codon) for a particular amino acid; and 'wobble' base-pairing, i.e. permitting non-standard base-pairing at the 3rd anti-codon position.
Source: Rfam